RNAcentral lists this non-coding RNA (24 nucleotides) under Mus musculus (house mouse). The record is from RNAcentral. Lineage: Eukaryota; Metazoa; Chordata; Mammalia; Rodentia; Muridae.
UUAUGCAUAGGUGACGGCACUGCA